GAUGAACGCUGGCGGCGUGCUUAACACAUGCAAGUCGAACGAAGCACUUUAUUUGAUUUCCUUCGGGACUGAUUAUUUUGUGACUGAGUGGCGGACGGGUGAGUAACGCGUGGGUAACCUGCCUUGUACAGGGGGAUAACAGUUGGAAACGGCUGCUAAUACCGCAUAAGCGCACAGCAUCGCAUGAUGCAGUGUGAAAAACUCCGGUGGUAUAAGAUGGACCCGCGUUGGAUUAGCUAGUUGGUGAGGUAACGGCCCACCAAGGCGACGAUCCAUAGCCGACCUGAGGGGGUGACCGGCCACAUUGGGACUGAGACACGGCCCAAACUCCUACGGGAGGCAGCAGUGGGGAAUAUUGCACAAUGGGCGAAAGCCUGAUGCAGCGACGCCGCGUGAGCGAAGAAGUAUUUCGGUAUGUAAAGCUCUAUCAGCAGGGAAGAUAAUGACGGUACCUGACUAAGAAGCACCGGCUAAAUACGUG
Molecule: ribosomal RNA, 481 nt
Filed under: uncultured bacterium
Lineage: Bacteria
Description: partial 16S ribosomal RNA
Rfam family: Bacterial small subunit ribosomal RNA
Source: RNAcentral